AAGUCGUAACAAGGUUUCCGUAGGUGAACCUGCGGAAGCACUGAUCCCAGCGCUCGAUUGGACCGUUAGCUUCCGCAGUCACCCAGUCGAAGGCAGAAGUCUCUGAAUCAAAAGCUGUUCGACAAUGAUUUACCAGAGAUUUCUGAUUGAAAGAGCACGAUAUAUAGUUCACAGGGGGGUUUAACGUUGGAUACGUGUUAAUGAUCCUGGUUUGGUUUCCCCUCAAACCACUUCAAUGAAUGACAUCGUCAUUGAAGUGUGAUGGGGAGGUCGAAUAACGCACGCUAGAGGCCCCCCACGGACCGGUGUCCAAAUCACCGAGCGCAAGCUCCCCUAAAACCACAUGUCAGCGUAGGCCCUUCUGUCGUGGUUGGGCGUAAAAACGAACAACUGUUAACAAUGGAUAUCUUGGUUCUC
This 417-nucleotide unclassified non-coding RNA is filed under the name fungal sp. Its description in RNAcentral is "partial internal transcribed spacer region". Lineage: Eukaryota; Fungi. The record is from RNAcentral.